CCGGAAUUAUUGGGCGUAAAGGGUGCGUAGGCGGCCUUUUAAGUUCAUGGUGAAAGCGUGGGGCUUAACCCCAUACAUGCAUGGAUACUGGAAGGCUAUAGUACUGGAGAGGAAAGUGGAAUUCCAUGUGGAACGGUAAAAUGGGUAAAUAUAUGGAGGAACACCAGUGGCGAAGGGGACUUUCUAGCCAGAAACUGACGCUGAUGCACGAAAGCGUGGGGAGCAAAUAGGAUUAAAUACCCUAGUAGUCCACGCUGUAAACGAUGAAUACUAAGUGUUGGGGGAACUCAGUGCUGCAGUUAACGCAAUAAGUAUUCCGCCUGUGGAGUAUGCACGCAAGUGUGAAACAUAAAGGAAUUGACGGGGGCCCGCACAAGCGGUGGAGUAUGUGGUUUAAUUCGACGCAACGCGAAGAACCUUACCAGGCCUUGACAUCCCUUGCAAAACUGUAUAGAUACAGCAGAGGUUAUCAAGGUGACAGGUGGUGCAUGGUUGUCGUCAGCUCGUGUCGUGAGAUGUUGGGGUUAAGUCCCGCAACGAGCGCAACCCUUGUCUUCACUUACCAGCAUUCACUUGGGGACUCUGGAGAGACUGCCGGUGAUAAACCGGAGGAAGGUGGGGGAUGACGUCAAAUCAUCAUGCCCCUUAUGGGCUGGGCUACACACGGACUACAAUGGCUGUCACAACGAGACGCAACAAACGCGAGUUGAAGCAAAUCUCUUAAAAGCAGUCUCAAUUCGGAUUGAAGUCUGCAACUCGACUUCAUGAAGCUGGAAUCACUAGUAAUUCGCGGAUCAGC
This 799-nucleotide ribosomal RNA is filed under the name uncultured bacterium. RNAcentral describes it as "bacterial SSU rRNA". It matches the Rfam family "Bacterial small subunit ribosomal RNA", at positions 545 to 1353 of the family's 1533-position model. The record is from RNAcentral.